Molecule: non-coding RNA, 200 nt
Organism: Camelina sativa (false flax)
Lineage: Eukaryota; Viridiplantae; Streptophyta; Magnoliopsida; Brassicales; Brassicaceae
Source: RefSeq, a predicted model, not a curated record
GGUUGUUGCAACUGUGGCAUUCGGCAUGGGACUUGACAAGGGAGAUGUUGGAGCUGUAAUCCACUUCAGCGUGCCAGGCAGUUUGGAAGAAUACGUUCAGGAAAUUGGACGUGCUGGUCGCGACGGGCGAUUGUCUUAUUGUCAUCUCUUUUAUGAUAAUGAGACAUAUCUAAAGCUUCGGAGUCUUUCACACAGGUGAU